GUGAUCUAAAUGACACAACGGGAUCUAAUUGACAGGGGAUCUAAAUAACCAUAGGGAACUAGUUGACACCAUCGUAGUUGGGGAUCUAAAUUACCCAUUUGGCGUUUAGAUCUCCCUUGAUCUACUAGAUACCCCUUCUGUGGCGGUAAUUUAAAAUAACAUUAUAAAAUAUUAUAUUAAACUUAUUUUAUACUAAAGUACUAAACGUAUUGUUUUUUUCUCUAAAGGCUAGUUCAGACUAUGCCAGUAAUUUAGUCGAGUGGUAAGUGACCUACUAACUACUAAACGGAAAAUUCUUUCCUGCGAAGAUCCAUCGUUUAUUUCCAACUGUUUUCAUCGGAAACCGAUGAAUAUACGUUGGACUGUUGGAGGCAGUGGCGUAUAUAGGGGGUGGACAUAGUGGGCUGCAGUCCACCCCAAAAUUACAGUCUUUUUAAAUAGAACAACAAUAUAUUUUAUUAGGUACUAUUAAAAGUUAUGAUAUUUCAUAGUCUGUUGAAAAAUAACAAAUACGAAUAUAUUUAUAGAAACUUUUAAAUCUAUAGUAGACAGUAGCUUCUAAGUAGUAUAUCACUUGCUAGUUUCUAUCUAUUAUAGCCCACCCCAACAAAUAUUUCUAUAUACGCCACUGGUUGGAGGUAACAAUUUAUAACCUUACCUCCAAAUAACAACCGUUAUCUCUUAUGCACAACCUAUCACUAAUUUAUUUCAAUUUAUUUAUAGGCUAUAUAUUAUAUUAUAUCAUGACGAAGUGUCGAAGUAAGUUUGGUCAUAUUCAUGAUUUCAUGAAACAUUAGUUUCGACAAAUUAUAAUGGUCUCAUUGACCACGACUGUAGACUACUCUCUUAUGAUGAUAUUGACUAUGUUCGCAAAAUGUCAAGUCAGUCUGGGUGUUCUUAUUGGUCCUAUAUUGGAUUAUAUAAACAAACUACAUUUUAAAAACAGAACCUAAUUAUUUUUUUCUUAUUAUUUUAAUACAAUUUUAAAUUGAUUGAGGUACGAAAAAUGUUCUUUAACGGGAACUAGGAAGAAGAAACAAUUUAAGUAGUUCCUUUUUAACAAAACGUGAACUUUCAAACCUUCAACGUGCUGGUCUCAUCUGUCCAUAAGAAAUAAAAUGGUGACAAUGCGACAUGUAAGUAGCUCUACAAAGUGGACAGCGGUAAUAUGGCCUAUGCUCAUUCGGAGGCAUCCUUGAAUAACUUUCAUGACAAGCUCCACAUAGGCCUUGGUGUAGGCAUGGAUACGCUACCACUGUUGGUGGACUGUACAAACAUAUGUAACACGUUUCCUCUUCUAUUGAUAAUUACUACUUACUUGUCAAAUCUGCACGUUCAAUGUAAAUAACUGAUGGACUGUUCGCAGACUGUUCGGUAGACACAUCUUCAUCUGAAUAAUCUGCAUCGGCAUCAAGAUUAUAAAAAACUAAAGACAAGUGAUUUAUUUAUUAGUAUAUUUUAUUGGAAAUCUGUAUCAGUAAUAUUAUAAUGAAAAAUCAUACGAUCUCGAGGAACGUGCACUGCUGGUCUACGUGUAAAGCAUUAGCAGGGAGCACAGGAAUAGCUUGAGGUUGUAUGUCCUGCUGAUCAACGGGGAGUGGUAAUGGAGCUUGUGGAAAGACAGCAGCAGGUACUACAAUAGCUUGGUG
This is a long non-coding RNA of Myzus persicae (green peach aphid), 1649 nucleotides long. RefSeq lists it as uncharacterized. The record is from RefSeq and is a predicted model, not a curated record. Lineage: Eukaryota; Metazoa; Arthropoda; Insecta; Hemiptera; Aphididae. The transcript has 4 exons.